AGUCUCGAGGUAUUUACGUCAAAAUGCAAGUUUGAAGAAGAGCCCAAGAGGGCUCCGGGGCUU
This 63-nucleotide transfer RNA is filed under the name Anolis websteri. Its description in RNAcentral is "tRNA-Cys". The record is from RNAcentral. Lineage: Eukaryota; Metazoa; Chordata; Lepidosauria; Squamata; Anolidae.